This 551-nucleotide ribosomal RNA is filed under the name uncultured archaeon. RNAcentral describes it as "bacterial SSU rRNA". It matches the Rfam family "Archaeal small subunit ribosomal RNA", at positions 326 to 879 of the family's 1478-position model. The record is from RNAcentral.
CGGGGUGCACCAGGCGCGAAAACUCCACAAUGUACGGAAGUACGAUGGGGUUAUCUCGAGUGCAGUCCGAUAAGGGCUGCUUUUCCAUAGAGUAAUAUCCUGUGGGAAUAAGAGGGGGGCAAGACUGGUGUCAGCCGCCGCGGUAACACCAGCCCCUCGAGUGGUGGGGACUAUUAUUUGGCCUAAAGCGUCCGUAGCUGGCUGUGUCCGUCCCCCGUUAAAUCCAGCGUCCUAAGCGUUGGACCGCGGGUGAUACCAUACAGCUAGAGGGUGGGAUAGGUGAGCGGUAUUUCUGGGGUAGGGGCGAAAUCCUUUGAUCCCAGGAGGACCACCAGUGGCGAAGGCUGCUCACUAGAACACGCCUGACGGUCAGGGACGAAAGCUGGGGCAGCGAACCGGAUUAGACACCCGGGUAGUCCCAGCUGUAAACGAUGCUAGCUAGGUGUUGGGUCGGCCACGCGCCGCCCCAGUGCCGCAGGGAAGCCGUUAAGCUAGCCGCCUGGGGAGUACGGCCGCAAGGCUGAAACUUAAAGGAAUUGGCGGGGGAGCAC